AAUCGUUCUUAAAGCAAUAGCAAGUAAGGUAAUGAAAUUGAAACUUAGAAUUCACUUAGAUUGCAGAAAUCAGCUUUUAGACACGAAGGGAAAAUUCAAACAAUAUUUAGGGCCGAAUUCUAUGUUUUGGACCCUUUCUUCAACAAGCAGCACUUUAAAACUCUUUUUCGCAUUUUUUUCAACUUUUCUUUUCUUUUCAACAAGCAUAAUAACUCACACUUCCCCCACACUUGUUUUCUGCCAUACAUUAUGAAGGAAAAUUUUUGUCCUAGCUAAGAACAAGUAUGAACAUUUGAAUACAUAUGCAUACUAUUAACUCAUUAAUAUAGGCAUGCAUCCAAAAACAAUUCAAUAAAACCCAUGACUUUCAAAGCCUAGUAUAUGGUGAACCAAAAUGAACUCUUUAACAACAUUAAAGAGAAAGAAGAAUUUAGUGAUUCUUUACCCUUGAAGCUCAUCCUUGUUUACACAAGGGAUUCACCCAAGUGGAGGGCCUUCAAGUCACCUCCAAGCUCCUUGAAUCCUUCUUGUGUUUUCUUCCCUUUUGUGCUCCUUUGAUGAUUUGAGGAAAAAGGAUUUGUUCUCCAAAACACCAAAAGCUUGAUGUCUCUAAGUCUCUUCACCAAGGUUGUAUCUUGUGAAGAUGAUAUGGAUGAUUAAAAGAAGAAGAGAUUGCUAGAUAUUUCUUCCUUUAAUGGCCGGCCUCUUAGAAGAAAUAGAGAGAAAAUGUCUCAUCAAAUUUCAACUUACCAAACCCUAAAGCUAUAAAGUUGAAUUUAUACUUCAUUUCUUU
This 793-nucleotide long non-coding RNA is filed under the name Malus domestica (apple). Its description in RNAcentral is "long non-coding RNA (MDOM_LNC004687)". The record is from RNAcentral. Lineage: Eukaryota; Viridiplantae; Streptophyta; Magnoliopsida; Rosales; Rosaceae.